RNAcentral lists this ribosomal RNA (645 nucleotides) under uncultured fungus. Its description in RNAcentral is "eukaryotic LSU rRNA". It matches the Rfam family "Eukaryotic large subunit ribosomal RNA", at positions 1 to 626 of the family's 3401-position model. The record is from RNAcentral. Lineage: Eukaryota; Fungi.
UUGACCUCAAAUCAGGUAGGACUACCCGCUGAUUAAGCAUAUCAAUAAGCGGAGGAAAAGAAACUAACAAGGAUUCCCCUAGUAACUGCGAGUGAAGCGGGAAAAGCUCAAAUUUAAAAUCUGGCGGUCUUUUGGCUGUCCGAGUUGUAAUCUAGAGAAGUGUUAUCCGCGCUGGACCGUGUACAAGUCUCCUGGAAUGGAGCAUCAUAGAGGGUGAGAAUCCCGUCUUUGACAUGGACUGCCAGGGCUUUGUGAUGCGCUCUCAAAGAGUCGAGUUGUUUGGGAAUGCAGCUCAAAAUGGGUGGUAAAUUCCAUCUAAAGCUAAAUAUUGGCGAGAGACCGAUAGCGAACAAGUACCGUGAGGGAAAGAUGAAAAGAACUUUGGAAAGAGAGUUAAACAGUACGUGAAAUUGCUGAAAGGGAAACGCUUGAAGUCAGUCACGUCAUCCAGAGAUCAGCCUUGCUUUUGCUUGGUGCACUUUCUGGUUUGAUGGGUCAGCAUCAAUUUUGGUCAUUGGAAAAAGGUCAGGGGAAUGUGGCAUCUUUGGAUGUGUUAUAGCCCUUGAUUGCAUACAAUGGCUGGGAUUGAGGAACUCAGCACGCCGCAAGGCCGGGUUUUAAAAACCACGUACGUGCUUAGGAUGC